UACGUAGGGUGCGAGCGUUGUCCGGAAUUAUUGGGCGUAAAGAGCUUGUAGGCGGUCUGUCGCGUCUGCUGUGAAAAUCCGGGGCUCAACCCCGGACUUGCAGUGGGUACGGGCAGACUAGAGUGUGGUAGGGGAGACUGGAAUUCCUGGUGUAGCGGUGAAAUGCGCAGAUAUCAGGAGGAACACCGAUGGCGAAGGCAGGUCUCUGGGCCACUACUGACGCUGAGAAGCGAAAGUGUGGGGAGCGAACAGG
This 253-nucleotide ribosomal RNA is filed under the name uncultured bacterium. RNAcentral describes it as "partial 16S ribosomal RNA". It matches the Rfam family "Bacterial small subunit ribosomal RNA", at positions 524 to 776 of the family's 1533-position model. The record is from RNAcentral.